CAAAAAAUGAUUAUUUUUUCCCUCUGUAGUGGAGAAGAGAAUAAAAACGAGUCCGGGGUGGAGAAAAAAAGGCCAGAUGAAGGCCAAACUCCAGGCUUCUUCUGAGACUAUAGAUUCCAGCAUCAACAUGGAGCAGCAGCUCCACAUGAGUGAACUGAGGUCUCUGCUAUCCUGUCUGAAGGUGAAGGAGGAUCUGGUGUGGAGAACCAGCACCUGGAACAACUGGAAACUUCACAUUCACAAACAAUGCUCUGAUCCAAAGCUUACACACUUAUUCACUUAUACUUUUUUGCUAUGUUGUAUUUUUAAUGUC
Molecule: long non-coding RNA, 313 nt
Organism: Cololabis saira (Pacific saury)
Lineage: Eukaryota; Metazoa; Chordata; Actinopteri; Beloniformes; Belonidae
Exons: 3
Source: RefSeq, a predicted model, not a curated record